UACGUAGGGUGCAGGCGUUAAUCGGAAUUACUGGGCGUAAAGCGUGCGCAGGCGGUUUGCUAAGACAGGUGUGAAAUCCCCGGGCUUAACCUGGGAACUGCGCUUGUUACUGGCAGGCUUGAGUGUGGCAGAGGGGGGUGGAAUUCCAGGUGUAGCGGUGAAAUGCGUAGAUAUCUGGAGGAACACCGGUGGCGAAGGCGGCAUCCUGGACCAAUACUGACGCUCAUGUGCGAAAGCGUGGGGAGCAAACAGG
RNAcentral lists this ribosomal RNA (253 nucleotides) under uncultured bacterium. RNAcentral's name for it is "partial 16S ribosomal RNA". It matches the Rfam family "Bacterial small subunit ribosomal RNA", at positions 524 to 776 of the family's 1533-position model. The record is from RNAcentral.